GGGGCAGGGCCGCCUCACCGCACUUCCCCAGGAUUUCAGGGAACAGGCUCCUGUGACUUGGAAAUGAAAAUGGAUCACCCAACCUGGAGGAACAGUGAGGCUGGUGUCCAAGACUUGCCCCUUGCCUGCACUUCCAGCAAAGAUUUGGAGACACUCAGUGGAAACCAAUCGAGCCCCCAGCCCACCCCCGCCCAGACUCAGCCACCAAAGUUCCCUCACUGCAUGUGGCACACGGGCUCAUGGGAGUUUCUCUGCCUGCGAUUGUCCACGUUGACACCUUCUGCACAGGUGCAUUUGUGAGUCCCCUCGGUGUCUCUGCAGCAUCUAUGUGUGGAUGAAUAGUGAAGCCACAUGAGGCCUGGUCUGAAGCAGAGAAGAUCCGCUCAGCAUCACGUUGAAUCCCAAGCCCGCAUCUCCGUGGGCUCCAGGACAAUCCUAUGAAAAUGACACCGUCGGUUCAUUGUUCACAUCGGGGAGGAGAAUUCCGUCUGAAAAUGAGCGUGACUUCACUGACACCCAAGUCCGUGGCACAGCCCUGUGCUGAGCUCCACAGACCUACAGUCCAUCGCCUCCCCUUCGAGUGGGCCCAGGGCUGCAGACAGCAUUGUCCAAAGAAGACACCCUGACUCGAUGAAUGGAACAAACUGGAAACUCCAGAAACAAGCCCUUCUUUACAUUUCUGGUGUUUGGCCUAAAUGGAAGGUGCCAAGGAAGCAGAUGAUGCCCCGAGUACAUCUACACUUGGGCUGCAACAAGAAACAACAGAGCCCAUGAAAACUGACAGUGCUGAAAGUGAAGACUGAGAUUCGGGAGCUCAGGUGCCCCUGUGAUCCAGGUCUUCUACCCUGAAACCCCACCCUCCAUCAAGGUCCUGCCUGUAGAGUCUACCUUGCAAAGCCUCCUGCUCCUACCCAUGCUACAGGCCAGGAACCAGAGCCCAUCAUCUCAGAGGCCCCUGGAUGUCCUUCGAAGGAACCAGGACCCUCAGAGCCCAGCAUCCAUCUCUGUCAUCAUCUUCAUCACACCCAAAGAAGAGCCAGCCUUGCAGGAGGGUUUACAUCUCCAGGAAGAUGGGCUGCCAGCAACUGCAGAGGAUGCAGCCACCUGCUUAACUGUGCUGUCCAGCCAGCCAGCCAGCUGCAGGGCCUCUUGCUGCUUAAGAGCUGAUGGGCCGGGCAUGUUGGCUCACACCUGUGAGCACAGUACUGGGAAAUGGGAGCAUAGUACUGGGAAAUGGGAGCACAGUACUGAGAAAUGGGAGCACAGUACUGGGAAAUGGUAGCACAGUACUAGGAAAUGGGAUCACAGUGCUGGGAAAUGGGAGCACAGUAAUGGGAAAUGGGAGCACAGUGCUGGGAAAUGGGAGCACAAAGUACUGGGAAAUGGGAGCACAGAGUACUGGGGAAUAGGAGCACAGUACUGGGAAAUGGGAGCAAACAGCACUGGGAGAUAGGAGUAUACAGCACUGGGAAAUGGGAGCACGGCACUGGGAAAUGGGAGCACAGUACUGGGAAAUGGGAGCACAGUGCUAGGAAAUGAGAGCACAGUUUUGGGAAAUGGGAGCACAGUACUGGGAAAUAUGAGCACAGUACUGGGAAAUGGAAGCACAUGGCACUGGGAAAUAGGAGUAUACAGCACUGGGAAAUGGGAGCACAGUACUGGGAAUUGGGAGCACAGCACUGGGAAAUGGGAGCACAGUACUAGGAAAUGGGAGCUCACAGCACUGGGAAAUGGGAACAUAGUACUGGGAAAUGGGAGCACAGUACUGGGAAAGGGGAGCCCACAGUACUGGGAAUUGGGAGCACAGUACUGGGAAAUGGGAGUUCACAGCACUAGGAAAUGGGAGCACAGUAUUGGGAAAUGGGAGCACAGUACUGGGAAAGGGGAGGGCACAGCACUGGGAAAUGGGAGCAUAGUACUGGGAAAGCGGAGCACAGUACUGGGAAAGGGGAGCCCAUAGUACUGGGAAAUGGGAGCACAGUACUGGAAAAUGGGAGCUCACAGCACUGGGAAAUGGGAGCAUAGCAUUGGGAAAUGGGAGCACAGUACUGGGAAUUGGGAGCACAGCGCUGAGAAAUGGGAGCUCACAGUACUGGGAAAUGGAGCACAGUAUUUGGAAAUGGGAGCACAGUACUGGGAAAUGGGAGCUCACAGCACUGGGAAAUGGGAGCAUAGCAUUGGGAAAUGGGAGCACAGUACUGGGAAUUGGGAGCACAGUACUGGGAAAUGGGAGCUCACAGUACUGGGAAAUGGGAGCUCACAGUACUGGGAAAUGGGAGCACAGUAUUCGGAAAUGGGAGCACAGUACUGGGAAAUGGGAGCUCACAGCACUGGGAAAUGGAGCAUAGCAUUGGGAAAUGGGAGCACAGUACUGGGAAAUGGAAGCUCACAGUCCUGGGAAAUGGGAGCAUAGUGCUGGGAAAUGGGAGCACAGUACUGAGAAAUGGGAGCACAGUACUGGGAAAUGGGAGCCCAGUACUGAGAAAUGGGAGCACACAGUACUGUGAAAUGGGAGCACAGUACUGGGAAAUGGGAGCAUAGUACUGAGAAACCCCAGACCUGGAUUCUGAGUUUUUCAGUCUAGCCCAGACUUCUUAUCUUAGUAGACAAAAAGAGUCAAUACCAGAGAACCAGAGGCAUCCUCUGUAUUUUAAUGAACUCUGCGUUUUAGUCUGUUUAGUAGUCAUAUUUUAAAAGAUAAUCAGUUUUCUAAAUAUAUCUAUAAGUUACUAC
This 2733-nucleotide long non-coding RNA is filed under the name Homo sapiens (human). Its description in RNAcentral is "non-protein coding lnc-ZDHHC11B-1:1". Lineage: Eukaryota; Metazoa; Chordata; Mammalia; Primates; Hominidae. The record is from RNAcentral.